This 350-nucleotide unclassified non-coding RNA is filed under the name soil metagenome. RNAcentral describes it as "partial contains 5.8S ribosomal RNA, internal transcribed spacer 2, and large subunit ribosomal RNA". The stretch from base 1 to 120 matches the Rfam family "5.8S ribosomal RNA", at positions 35 to 154 of the family's 154-position model. The record is from RNAcentral.
GAUGAAGAACGUAGCGAACUGCGAUAAGUAAUGUGAAUUGCAGAAUUCAGUGAAUCAUCGAGUCUUUGAACGCACAUUGCGCCCCCUGGCAUUCCGGGGGACAUGCCUGUCCGAGCGUCAUUGCUGCCCUUCAAGCCCGGCUUGUGUGUUGGGUCGUCGUCCCCCCCGGGGGACGGGCCCGAAAGGCAGCGGCGGCACCGCGUCCGGUCCUCGAGCGUAUGGGGCUUUGUCACCCGCUCGAUUAGGGCCGGCCGGGCGCCAGCCGGCGUCUCCAACCUUCUAUUUUACCAGGUUGACCUCGGAUCAGGUAGGGAUACCCGCUGAACUUAAGCAUAUCAAUAAGCGGAGGA